UCCCGCCAAAAAACAAUGGAAAAAUUAAUGAAAAUACUCAAUAUUCACUGCUUUUAAUAAAUUGUACUGAAGUAACAAAAAGCAAUUAGAUUUUAUAUUGCUUAUUUAUUAAUUCCAUCGACAUCUAUGCGACCGAGUGAAGAAAAAAGUACCUCAAUAUUUUUCGAUAUUGGCUGUUUGAAUCUGCGUUGCCAGAAUUUCUUUGUCUCAUGGAAAAAAAAGUAAACUCAGUACCCAAACCGUUGGCGCGAAAAAGUGACAAGCGUUUUUUCACUUGUAUUUCAAGAUUCCAAAGAUGAAGCGUUCAAGCGUCGAAAUUCCAUUGUGCUCUACAAUGCGUCGCCGUCGCGUCGACGACGAGCCUGCUGCAACCUGCAUCGGUGCCGGUCUAACACACCAAGGCUCCGAUAUGUAUGAAGGAAAUGCACAAUGCUAAAAACUGCGUAGGAGAUUUUAAUACAAUAGUACUACCAAGCCUGAUGUUGGCCGCUAUUUCAAUGAAUGCAGCAAUGUGACAGCUAGCAAUCAAAAGUAACAAGAUAUCGAGGAAAUGCAGAUGGCAAUAAACUGUGUAGGAGUUCAUGAUUGCAAUAGAAUAAAAUCGACCAAGCCUGAAGUCAGCAGCCCCUUCAAUGAAUGCAGCAGUGUGACAGCCAGCAAUCAAAAGUUACAAGAUAUCGAGGAAAUGCAGAAGGCAAAAAACUGCGUAGGAGAUCAUUAAUACAAAAGUAUUAUAUAAACCAAACCUGAUGUUGCCAGCUCCUUCAAUGAAUGCAGCAGUGUGACAGCCAACAAUCAAAAGUAACAAGAUAUCGAGGAAAUGCAGAAGGCAAAAAACUGCGUAGGAGAUCAUUAAUACAAUAGUAUUAUAUAAACCAAGCCUGAUGUUGGCCGCUCAUUCAAAGAAUGCAGCAGUGUGACAGCCAGCAAUCAAAAGUAACAAGAUGUCGAGGAAAUGCAGAGUGUAAUAAACUGUGUAGGAGAUUAUGAUUGCAAUAGAAUAAAAUCGACCAAGCCUGAAGUCCUUCAAUGCACGCAGCAGUGUGACAGCCAGCAAUCAAAAGUUACAAGAUAUCGAGGAAAUACAGAAGGCAAAGAAGCAGAUGUCAUCAAAGAAGAUCUUUGUUCCUGCAAUGUUUCCGCAGACGAUACAUCCAACAGAGCGAAGUGGAAGGAAAAGACUCGGAAUAAAGACCCCACCACCAUAUGGGAACAAUGCAAGGGAGAGAGAGAGAAUAUAAUGUUAUAUUUUUAUUUUUUGAUAACAUAAAAUAA
Long non-coding RNA from Pectinophora gossypiella (pink bollworm), 1275 nucleotides. RefSeq lists it as uncharacterized. The transcript has 9 exons. The record is from RefSeq and is a predicted model, not a curated record. Lineage: Eukaryota; Metazoa; Arthropoda; Insecta; Lepidoptera; Gelechiidae.